UGGUGGAGUGAUUUGUCUGGUUAAUUCCGAUAACGAGCGAGACCUCAACCUGCUAACUAGCACUGAUUAUGUAUAUAGUCAGGGCUUCUUAGAGGGACUACCCGUUUUAAGCGGGGGGAAGUUUGAGACAAUAACA
This 136-nucleotide ribosomal RNA is filed under the name uncultured eukaryote. RNAcentral's name for it is "partial 18S ribosomal RNA". It matches the Rfam family "Eukaryotic small subunit ribosomal RNA", at positions 1299 to 1458 of the family's 1831-position model. The record is from RNAcentral.